Molecule: ribosomal RNA, 423 nt
Filed under: uncultured prokaryote
Description: bacterial SSU rRNA
Rfam family: Bacterial small subunit ribosomal RNA
Source: RNAcentral
UGGGGAAUCUUGGACAAUGGGGGCAACCCUGAUCCAGCGACGCCGCGUGGGUGGUAAGGCCUUCGGGUUGUAAAGCCCUUUCACCGGGGAAGAUGAUGACAUUACCCGGAGAAGACGCGACGGCUAACUCCGUGCCAGCAGCCGCGGUAAGACGGAGGGCGCUAGCGUUGUUCGGAAUCACUGGGCGUAAAGGGCGCGUAGGCGGCUGUAUAUGUCGAGGGUGAAAGCCCGGCGCUCAACCCCGGAACGGCCUUCCAGACUGGGCAGGUCGUGACCGGAAGAGGAGGGUGGAAUACCCAGUGUAGAGGUGAAAUUCGUAGAUAUUGGGUGGAACACCAGUGGCGAAAGCGGCUCUCUGGUCCGGAUCUGACGCUGAGGCGCGAAAGCGUGGGGAGCAAACAGGAUUAGAUACCCGUGUAGUCC